CUUUGGCUCCCCUGAGAUGCCAAAUAGCCGCUCACUCUUCCGCCUCCACGGACUGGCUUUGGUGUUCAUGCUGGUUGGGGAUGUCUACUAUGGACCUGCUGAGCACAGGGCUGGGUUCCUGGGGCACAGAGUUGAUGCUUAUGGCCCAGGAACUGCUGGGCCCCAGGACUGGGCGGUUUCCAUGGUUGCUGCCACAGAAGCAGCAUUGCUGGAGUCAGUAGUGUGGCUGCCUUGCCAUGGCCGUGGUGGGUCUGCCUGGGGGUAUCUCAAUCCCGCAGAGUGCCAGGCAACCACUCCAGCCUGCUGUUGAAGGCCCCUGGCCACCCCUGGGUAAGUAAAAGAUGUCAUUUGGCGGUGUGGCAGCGAAGGGGGAGCCAGGCAGAGUACGAGCAAGAAGGUAGUGGCAGGGGGUCGAGGAGGGUGCUAGAAACUGAGUCUGAGGUUCUUAGAUUGGCUCUGCUCUGUGACCUGAAGAAAGCCGCACAACCUCUCUGAGCUUUGAUUUCCUCGUGUGAAACGAGGCUAGCAAUUGUGCAGGAGACAGUGUCUCCAGAUGAGUGCUCUGUAAAUUGAUAACAUGUCAUAAGACUUCUGCAAUUAUGUUAUUUAGCAGUCAAAAUUGGCUAACGGUUUCCGUAGGACUUUUAAGUGAAACUAUAAAGGCAGUGGCAAUUGAGUAAAGAGUUCCCCGUGGUUUUUGACUGUUUCAAGCUAUUACCUAUUAUUUGCACAGAGUUCCAGAAGUUUAAGAGACACACACAAAAUUAUCCAACCCAGAAGAAGAGUGCACUUCCAGGGACAAUUUAAGCAUUCAGCUGGUAGCAGUAAAGCACCUGCUGCAAGCCAAGUGCGUGGAUAGGAGCUGUGGUUACAACCCUGGAUGGGCCAGACAUUAUCCUCCUCUCACGGUGCUAGUGGUGACUGGCAAGGGAGCUGACUUCACAGCAUGAGGGCCACCUGGAAGGUAACCUGUCUCAGGUGGCAGGUUGGGGACUUGGGGCCAACCAGAUUUCUCCUCCUUUCUGUGUCUGUUCCCCUCCAUGAAAUGAAGAGUUUAAGAACCAGGGUGUUAUCUAACCACAUCACCCUGCUUCCAUAUUCAGACCCAGGGUCUGAAAGAAAUGAGAUGGAGACAAAAUGAAAGCAGAAGGUUGGAGGAAUGAAAUUCACAAUAAAACCUACAAUCUGCUCCUUGACCAAAAUGAUAGCUCAGGCACGCUGAGCACUCACUAUGGGCCAGGCGCUGUGCUAAGACCUUCACGUACUUCAUCUCACUCUGCCCUCUCAACAGCCGCAUUUUCCAGUUGACAGACUGAGGCUUGGAGAUGUCACCCUGCCCAGGGUCAAACGGCUAGUAAGUGGUAGAGCUGGGAUUCAGACCCCAGGGUGUCUGACUGUGGAGACUGCAAGGUCAGCUCUGCUCUGUUGCCUCAGCAGGUCUAUUCCUUGGAUUGAAAGAGCUCGCUGCAGUCUGAUUUCCCACAGAACAGUAGCAUGGAAAGAGUGGAGGAAGGCAGGGGAAAAUUCCCAGGCUGGUAGCUGGUGUUCUAUCUGCAAGGCUGCCUUAGCUCAAGCGGCCCCAGCCUCCGGGCAGCUGGUGGGAAGGUAAACUGCUGAAACUGAAGAUUUGCAAAACCCACCAUGCUCCAGUUAACGAGCCUCUUGGAAAACCUCUCUGAAGGUUCCUGGCAGUGUCCCUGUGGGAGCCAGCUCAUGUAUUUUAAGACAAAAAAAAAAUCAUUAAAGAAGUUAGGACUCUGGAGUGGCCGUAAAUGUAAAAUAUUGGUGGUUCGACAGUGUAUCCCUAGCAGCCGUAGGCAGAGUUCAUCUUGAUGAGCCAGAACCAUGUCCAAGAAAUGAAUCAUUUUGUUUUCCUCAGAGGGCUCCCCCUGAAUCUUCCCAGGCCGUCUGCUCCAAAGUUUUUAACUUGCCCACCUAGCUCAGGACCCACUAAGACCACGACUGCUCCUAGCCAGGAAAGGGAAUAGGGUUGGCAGAAUUGUAGAGCAAGCUGGGCCCCAAACACUUCUGGAACGGUGCCUGAGAGAUUCCAUUUUCCAGAUGGCCCCCAAGCCUUCCCUUACUUUGGUUGUUGGUAACCAUAACUGUCACACCAAAGGCACUUGUCUUCAUGACAUUCUGGAGGAGGGAGGUCAUGGCAUGUGGCACCUCUUAGGCACUCCGUGAGUGCUUGUGGAUGGUGGGGGCAAACACAUGGUUUGCAUGGUUUGGGCCUCCCACAUAUGGCACCUGCUUGUCUCUUUGGCUGAUGGGUGUCUUGGUUUCCCUUUGCCCAGCAAAGGUGGUACCACCAUCCAGCCAAUCUUUUAUUCUGCUCCCUCUUUCAUUUGGUGAACCAUAGUGAGGAUCCAGAUCUAGAGGAUUUAAAGUGUUGGGGACCCCCUGCCAGCUCAGAUCAAAUUUAAAGGUGUUGGGGACCCCCACCUGCCUCAGAUCAGAUUAAAGUCAGUGGCAGCCCAGGCCAGGAAUUGAGGCUAGAGGGGGGAUUUCCAAGGUCCCGCCCUAGCCCCCAGCUCCCACAUCCAGGGUGACUUCCAACAAACCACCUGACCCCUCCCCAUCCCCUCUUCCCAGCUUAGAGGCGGGGAGGGUGACAUUGAGCUUCGGCUCUGGGGCGUCCUAAGGGUUAACUAAUUAAUGGUCGGAAAGUGCUUUGAAAAAAUAAAGUGCUGGAUAAUGGGAAGGGCAAUUAUGUUGGGAGAAACUCCUAAUUUGGCUGGAAUUGAUGUUAAUGAUAAAGUAUCUGAAACAUGUAGCAAGCAAGCGUGAUUGUAUUUUAUAUGACAGAGAGAGACACUUACACGCAGGGGACACGGACAGCGGUUAAUUUGGUUAAAUAAAGUGAAAGAUAAAAGGAAUGCGGACACCGCAGGACUCGCUGUUUAUCCGGACUCAAUGUAACACUUUGCAAUUGGAUCGGGGCGCUUUGACUCUUAUUUAUUUGUUUGUGAUGAAAAUAAAUGGGAAAGUGCCAGUUUUAUGGCUUAAAAGGAGAUGGUAGAAAGUAGAAUCCAAGAAGGAGUCCCAGGGCUUCCGACGAGGCAGGCUCAGGCUGCGUUCCCAGGAAGGAGAACAAGGUCUCCGAGAGAGUCAAGGUGGGUGAGGACAUCCUCACUCCACCCCACCGGAGCUGGGGGAAUCUCAGAGGGCAACCAACAUAGCUCUCACCUUCCAGAGGGAGAAACUGAGACCCAGGAAAGGGAGAGGGUAUACGACUGAGUAUAGGAGCCAGCAUUAACUAAGCAAUUCUGUUCGCUAUGAUCAGAUGAGAUGUUAUGAUCCCAUUUAAUCCCUAAAGCAAGCGUAUGAGGUGGGUACCAUUUUCACUGCCAUAUUACAGAAGAAGAAACAGAAGCUCAGAGAGGUCAAGCAAGGAGCCCAAGAUCACACAGCCAGGAAGUGGUGGAGCAGGGCGUUGGGCUCGGGCAGCCUGACUCUGGGAGGAAAACUCCACGAAUGGUGACUUUGGGACUAAGCCAAUGCUCUUAAUAUUCAUGUCCCUCUUCUCCUUGACUACGUUCUGCUGAACAGGGAACCAGGAGAAGGAAGUGAGGAGACUCUUGUCCCAGUCCAGGAAAGACUGAAUGGGGCUGCCCAGGGUGAUAGGGAUGCCUGGUCUGGGACCAGAGCAAUGGCAGGGGUUUGAGCCCUAGUUUGGGGCCCCAGAGGACAGCAUGAAUUUGCCCCAAGGAAGAACAGGAGACUUGGUUUCUGGAAGGUCUGUGAGGUCCCCGCAGGUCCAUAUUAGUAUUCAGUAUUUAUAAUAUUUCCAUAAUGGUAAAACAAAAGAAAACAAGCAGAGAGAAUGCAUUUUUAAUCACCAAUCAUUUCUCUUUGUUUGUUGUGAAUGAACAGCGAGGUGAAAUAGUAUUUCAUAAUCACCCCAUUCGAAUUUUCCUCCCCACGAAGCGCCGAGAAAUCUCUAAAUAAAAUAAAUAAACAAGCCAAGACCUUAAAAUAAAUUCCAGAGGGUAAAGUGCUACGUGUGGGUUAUCACAGCUGCGGGGAGGCUGGGGCUGGGAGGUGGGGAAGGGAGGACAAAGGGCCAGGGGCCUUGUCAGUUAUCAGGAAUCGGAUCCCCCAGAUCCAGAGACUGACAAGGAAGGGCAGAAGAUCAGAGGAAUGGUUUGAAGAUCUGCAGCAGCAUGGAGCUGGAACAGACUCCCCCCUACUUCAUUUCUUCCUUCUUUUUCUUUCAG
RNAcentral lists this long non-coding RNA (4220 nucleotides) under Homo sapiens (human). RNAcentral describes it as "HSALNT0001635". The record is from RNAcentral. Lineage: Eukaryota; Metazoa; Chordata; Mammalia; Primates; Hominidae.